Non-coding RNA from Picea glauca (white spruce), 121 nucleotides. NCBI's taxonomy places the organism in Eukaryota, Viridiplantae, Streptophyta, Pinopsida, Pinales, Pinaceae. The record is from Rfam.
ACAUGCCUACAUCAUAGCGUUAAUGCAUUGGAUCCCAUUAGAACUCCGUAGUUAAGCACGCUUAGGCUAGAGUAGUACUAGAAUGGGUGACCACCCGAGAAGUCCUACUAUUUUACAUGCC